UACGGGGGGUGCAAGCGUUGUUCGGAAUUAUUGGGCGUAAAGGGCGCGUAGGCGGUUGAAUAAGUCAGAUGUGAAAGCCCUUUGCUUAACGAAGGAGGUGCAUUUGAUACUGUUUGGCUUGAGUAGGGGAGAGGCAAGUGGAAUUCCGGGUGUAGAGGUGAAAUUCGUAGAUAUCAGGAGGAACACCGGUGGCGAAGGCGACUUGCUGGACCAAUACUGACGCUGAGGCGCGAAGGCGUGGGGAGCAAACAGG
Molecule: ribosomal RNA, 253 nt
Filed under: uncultured bacterium
Lineage: Bacteria
Description: partial 16S ribosomal RNA
Rfam family: Bacterial small subunit ribosomal RNA
Source: RNAcentral